CGGAGGAUCCAAGCGUUAUCCGGAAUCAUUGGGUUUAAAGGGUCCGUAGGCGGUUUGAUAAGUCAGUGGUGAAAGCCCAUCGCUCAACGAUGGAACGGCCAUUGAUACUGUCAGACUUGAAUUACUGGGAAGUAACCAGAAUAUGUAGUGUAGCGGUGAAAUGCUUAGAUAUUACAUGGAAUACCAAUUGCGAAGGCAGGUUACUACCAGUGGAUUGACGCUGAUGGACGAAAGCGUGGGGAGCGAACAGGAUUAGAUACCCUGGUAGUCCACGCCGUAAACGAUGGAUACUAGCUGUUGGGCGCAAGUUCAGUGGCUAAGCGAAAGUGAUAAGUAUCCCACCUGGGGAGUACGUUCGCAAGAAUG
RNAcentral lists this ribosomal RNA (366 nucleotides) under uncultured organism. Its description in RNAcentral is "bacterial SSU rRNA". It matches the Rfam family "Bacterial small subunit ribosomal RNA", at positions 526 to 896 of the family's 1533-position model. The record is from RNAcentral.